UCGAGGAUCUUCGUCAAUGGGCGAAAGCCUGAACGAGCGACGCCGCGUGCGGGAUGAAGGCCCUUGGGUUGUAAACCGCUGUCAGGGGGGAUGAAACCGUAAGGUUGACAGAGCCCCAGAGGAAGCACGGGCUAAGUUCGUGCCAGCAGCCGCGGUAAUACGAACUGUGCGAACGUUACUCGGAAUCACUGGGCUUACAGGGUGCGUAGGUGGCUUGUUAAGCAGGGUGUGAAAUCCCUCGGCUCAACCGAGGAACUGCGCUCUGAACUGGCGAGCUAGAGUAUGCUAGAGGUGAAUGGAACAUCCAGUGGAGCGGUGAAAUGUGUUGAUAUUGGAUGGAACACCAGAGGCGAAGGCGAUUCACUGGGGCAUAACUGACACUGAGGCACGAAAGCCAGGGGAGCAAACG
RNAcentral lists this ribosomal RNA (409 nucleotides) under uncultured bacterium. Its description in RNAcentral is "bacterial SSU rRNA". It matches the Rfam family "Bacterial small subunit ribosomal RNA", at positions 355 to 774 of the family's 1533-position model. The record is from RNAcentral.